RNAcentral lists this ribosomal RNA (253 nucleotides) under uncultured bacterium. Its description in RNAcentral is "partial 16S ribosomal RNA". It matches the Rfam family "Bacterial small subunit ribosomal RNA", at positions 524 to 776 of the family's 1533-position model. The record is from RNAcentral.
UACGUAGGGGGCAAGCGUUGUCCGGAAUCAUUGGGCGUAAAGAGCGUGUAGGCGGCUCGGUAAGUCCGCUGUGAAAGUCCAGGGCUCAACCCUGGAAUGCCGGUGGAAACUGUCGAGCUUGAGUCCGGAAGAGGCGAGUGGAAUUCCUGGUGUAGCGGUGAAAUGCGCAGAUAUCAGGAGGAACACCAAUGGCGAAGGCAGCUCGCUGGGACGGUACUGACGCUGAGGAGCGAAAGCGUGGGGAGCAAACAGG